ACGGUCUGUAGCUACCUUCACC
RNAcentral lists this microRNA (22 nucleotides) under Panagrellus redivivus. RNAcentral describes it as "prd-miR-7878-3p". Lineage: Eukaryota; Metazoa; Nematoda; Chromadorea; Rhabditida; Panagrolaimidae. The record is from miRBase by way of RNAcentral.